AGAUCCUGCAGAAGAUGCGGGGGUCCCCCUUGGUGUCUGCUGUGGGCGUCAGAAGGAAAGAAGCUCAUGCUCAGGACACAAGUACCCGGAUUUUGCACCAUGUGGAUGUACCACCGAGAGAAUGAUGAGCUAACAUUGGGCUGCGACGCCACCGUACCAGAAAGUGAUGCCUGAAGAUACUGGAGAAGCACAUCAAGGAAUGAAUGGAAGCAAACGUUUUCCGCUGACCUGAUGGACUGAGAGCGAAAGAAGGCGAGUUCCCAGUGAGGGUUUCCCGCUCGUGAGAGGAGCACGAGGUGAUGUCGUGGAGAGAGUGAGAUGCGACAGGGAGGGAGACAUGGCCCCGAAGCUGUGGGACGUGCCGCAGACACACUCGCGCCCACACAGACACGCCUGCACAUGUGCCCGAGGCGUGCACACGCGCACACACACACACUCGUGUGUACGAGUGCUCAGCAUCCAGGACGCGAUGCCUGGAACCGAGUCCCCUCUGAAGCGGGAGGGGAAGGCGUGCUUGUUCCGAAAGAGCAGCGUGGGAGUGACCGGCGCCAAUCAGAUCGGAGACCUUCCCACGUACUUGGUCAAAUUAAACGAAACCAGAGUCUUCAGCUUUACUGAGAUGCAAUUGGUGGGAAUUGUACAUGCGGAAGAGGUACCAGUGGAUUCUUUAUUGUUUUCGGUUUAGGGCCGCACAUGAGUCACUUGGAGGUUCCCAGGCUAGGGGUGGAAUCGGGGUGCAGCUGCCAGCCUGGGCCACAGCCACAACCCCUCUGGAUCUGGGACACAUGUGUGACCCACAGCACAGCUCACAGCAACGCGGGACCCUUAACCCACUGAGGGAGGCCAGGGAUGGAACACGAAGCCUCAUAGAUGCUCGUCAGGUUGGUUUCCGUUGAUCCCUAAUGGGAACUUCACCACGUUACACUUUGAUUCAUUUUUCAGUGUGAAAUCGUUACCACAGUCACAUAGUUCAUGUCUCUGUGUGUGUGUGUGUGUGUGUGUGUGUGUAUGUGAGUGUGAGUGAUGUUUUCUGACCCAUUCAUCUGCCGACAGCAGUCGAGGUGGUUUCCGUGGCUCGGCUCUGGCUGUCGUGAGGGAUACAGCAGUGGACAGGGAUGUGCAGGUGUCUCUCUGUGACGCUGAUGUCACCUGCUGGGGACAUAGAUCAAGAUGGGAAAUAGCUGCAUGUGGCCGGUCUGUCUCUCUCCUUCUCUUUGACAGAUGUUUGCGUUCCCACCAACCAUGCCCAAGGCCCUCUUUUCUGCACGUGUUUGUCAGCCUUGCUGCCCUGGGUCUUUUCCCACCAGCUGUUGUAACAGGUGCGAGGGGGUCUCUCCCCGUGUGUGUUUCAUGAUUUGCCCCGAGAGGAAGGAGGCCCCCAUUUAACACCUGUAUUUAUAUAUGCAUGGCGACUGCAGUUUGAGGUGGGAUCUCCCUUCCCAGAGCAGGGAUUGAACCUGGGGUCUGCGGGGAGAGCGCCGGGUCCUAAGCCCUAGACCGUCAGGGAACUCCCUCCCUCCCUGUGGUUUUGACCAGGGUUUCCCUGCUGGUCGGUGAGGGGCCACAGCUUUUCAGGGACUGUUUGGCCAUUUGGAUCUUCUUUUGAGAAACGUCUCUUCGGGUGUUUUGCCCCAUGAACAUCAGCUUGUUACUGCUUUGCAUGCAGUUGUGUGCUCCCCCUGUGUCUGGGGAGGUGACGGCUUGUCAGAGAGACGGUUUGCAGGGAUCUUCUUGCUUCUGCUCCUUCACGCUGUUGCCUGUUUCUUUUGUGUGCAGUCCCUUUCAUUUGAUGGGCUCCUCCUUGUCUCUUCACGUAUUUGUUGCUUGUGCUUUUGGGGUCGUAACCGAAAAGCCGUGUCCAAACUUGUGUCAGGAAGCUUUGCCAGGAGCGGGUUGAGGAUCUAGCGGUGUCCCCGCAGCUGCUGAAGCGGUUGCUGUGGUGCAGCAGGUUCCAUCUCUGGCUGGGGAACGUCCAUAUGUCACGGGUGUUGCAAAAAAAAAAAAAGAAAAAAAGAAAAAAAGAAAAAAAAAAAAGAAAAGAAGCAGAAGCUUUUCCAGUGUUUUGUUCUUGCACUUUUAUGGUGUCAGUCCUGUGUUUAAGUUUUUAAACCUUUUUUUUUUUUUUGCCAAGCCGAGGGCCUGCAGAAGCUCUGGGGCCAGGGAGCCAGUCCUUCCCCUGCUGCACCACCAGGGCGCUCGCCAUGGUUAAGUCCUGAACCCAUUCUGAGUGGGUUUUGUGUGUGGCAUGCGUCUGGGGCCCGUGCCAUCCUGUGUGUGGAUGUCUCGUGUCCCCACCAUCAUUUAUUUAUGGAAGGGCUGUCCUGCCCCGGUCGUGUGUUCUGGCACCCUGUCAAGGAUUAGCUCACGGCUUCUCGAAGACAAUUCUUUCGCCUCAUCCGUCAGGCAAGUCACAGGUUUCUGAUGUGCUUUGGUCCGUUGAUGGGGAUUUAUCCUGAGGCAUUGGCAGUGUCCUAUUUCCCUGAGUCUUCGUGUUUCUCGUUGCUUUGCUUUGGUGUCUGUGGGUUUGCCCAUCAGCCCGUUAGAGAUUCUGGAAGCUCUGAAAGAUUUUCUGUGGACGUGCCAACUCUGCUUUCCUCCCUCCUGGGGAGAAGAUGCCGAGUUGCUUGCCUUGGCCCCUCCCUCAGCCCUGCACCCCGUUUCCCUGAGGGAUGAUGGGGGAGGCUGAGGCAGGGGGCAAGCUCCCUGUUCCACCUACAGAUGAGGGCCCCUCCCCUCGUUCUUGCAGGUUGGCUGUGCCCCUGCUGAGAGUCCUGUCCCUUUUCCGAGUUCUUUGCUGCCCCCACGUGUGCCUGGAGCCCCGGCGCUCCCUGUGCUCUGAGUGGAGUGGCAGGCAGGUCUCUCAGGGGACACCUGAAUCCUGGGGGUGUCACCUGCAGCCUCACUCACUGUCCUCAGAGGGAGGGGGAAGCCUGGGCAGAGGGCGGGGGCCUCUCAGUGUGGAGCUGUGCCAGCCUCAGGGAGGGGUGCCAGGGCUAAAGUGAAGCUGCCUUUAUUCUCCAUUUCAAAGUGGUUUUUCUUGGGUUUUUGCUUUUCUGCAGUGCUGCAACUCAUCUGGACACUGGAGUUUGCAGGAAAGUUAAAUGGGCCAAAUAUCGUUGUUUUAUCAGCCUCUCUAACCGAAGGGUCUUUAAAAAGACCCUGUGCUGGCCCAGCUGGGCACACAGUCUUUGAGGUAUUCACGCAGGGUUUCCCAAGGGCAGACUCUUCAUUGGAGGGAAAUAAUGCCCCCUGUUCCACUGGAAGUAUGUCUCAUUGUGGUGUUUCUUUUUUUUUGUUUUAAAUCAAUUCUUGGGCUGCUCUUGCGGCACAUGGAGGUUCUCAGGCUAGGAGUCGAAUCUAUGCUGUAGCUGCCGGCCUAUGCCCGAGCCCAGCAACGUGGGAUCCGAGGCGCGUCUGCGACCCACACCACAGCUCAUAGCCAUGACAAAUCCUUCACCCACUGAGCAAGGCCAGGGAUCAAACCUGCAACCUCAUGGUUUUUAGUCGGAUUCAUUAACCACUGAAGAAUGAUGAUAACUCCUCAUUCUGGUUUUAUUUUUUUUUUUAAUACAUUUUUAGAGUUUAAAGUACAGUGUGUCCCAUUCUGAACAUGGUCUUGGUCCAAGGACAGACUCUGCUGCGUCUCUCUUGCGCCCUCUGAUGGCCACCCGGAGAGGGCUCUAGGCUGGGAGAAGAGGGCCUUUCAAGGCCCCCCCCCCCGCCCCAGUCCCCAGAGGGGACUUUUUUCCUGAGCUCCAGGUCCUUGUGUACCCCUGCCUCCUCUAUAUUUUCCCCCUCAGUUCAUUGUUUGCCAUUAGAUAUGCUCUUCUCUGCAGGCUCGUGGCCCUGUCUUCUGUCUGACCGAGGAAGCUCCUUUAGGACUAGAGCGCCAGGGGUUCUGCUGUGUUGGGUGGUUCCUCGUGAGUGGAGGUUGAUUGGGCCCCUCUCUGACUCAAGCAGGUGGUUUGUCUUUCCUGGAUUGUCAGUGCGGUGGUUUGAUUUCUGCAUAUCAAACCAGCCUUGCAUGCCUGGGAUAAGCUCCCCUUGGAUGUGGCAUAGCAUUUUGAAAAGACAGUGUAAAAUUUGAUUGGAAGGUCACGUUUAUGCUCUCGGGGGAGAAUGGCCUGCAGAUUUUGUUGUGUGUCUUGCGUUGUCUUUGUUUAGUUUUGUCAUUAGAGUGUGUCCUCGUAAAGUACAGAGCAUUUCCUCUUCAUUUGGUGUCUGGGAGAGAUUGUGCAGAAUUGUUGUUAUGGUUCUUACCUGUUUUCUAGAAUUUAAAGUCAAGGCUCUGAGGCCUGGCGUUCUCUUUGGGGAGAGUUUUAUCAAAUGAUGAAUUAAAUUUCUUGAAUGAGAGCUUGGCAAAUGCUUUCAAAAAGUCUGACAAGAAAAGUGUUAGUGAGUCUGGGACAGAUGGGUUUAGUGUACGUGUUUCUGGUUGUGUAAAUUAAGACCUUAAUUGAGAACUGUGUCAUUACCCAUUAGAGUUUCAGGUAUGUCGGUGCUACCCAACAGUUCCUUGCUAUGUCAAAAGUGGAAAAACAUGCAUGUAUAGAGAGUAGGAUAUUCCAAGGGUGUUUAUAGUAGCAAUACUUAUAAGUGCAACAGCUGUGGUAUAGGUCACAAGAUGCAGCUUGGAUCUGGCAUUGUUGUGGCUGUGGCGGAGGCUGGCAGCUGAAGCUCUGAUUUCAGUCUGGGAACAUCCAUGUGCUGUGGGUUCAGCCCCAAAAUGAAAAAUAAAUAAAUACUAGC
RNAcentral lists this long non-coding RNA (4749 nucleotides) under Sus scrofa (pig). RNAcentral's name for it is "lncRNA (ENSSSCG00050003944.1)". The record is from RNAcentral. Lineage: Eukaryota; Metazoa; Chordata; Mammalia; Artiodactyla; Suidae.